GUCGAGCGGAUGAAGGGAGCUUGCUCCUGGAUUCAGCGGCGGACGGGUGAGUAAUGCCUAGGAAUCUGCCUGGUAGUGGGGGAUAACGUCCGGAAACGGGCGCUAAUACCGCAUACGUCCUGAGGGAGAAAGUGGGGGAUCUUCGGACCUCACGCUAUCAGAUGAGCCUAGGUCGGAUUAGCUAGUUGGUGGGGUAAAGGCCUACCAAGGCGACGAUCCGUAACUGGUCUGAGAGGAUGAUCAGUCACACUGGAACUGAGACACGGUCCAGACUCCUACGGGAGGCAGCAGUGGGGAAUAUUGGACAAUGGGCGAAAGCCUGAUCCAGCCAUGCCGCGUGUGUGAAGAAGGUCUUCGGAUUGUAAAGCACUUUAAGUUGGGAGGAAGGGCAGUAAGUUAAUACCUUGCUGUUUUGACGUUACCAACAGAAUAAGCACCGGCUAACUUCGUGCCAGCAGCCGCGGUAAUACGAAGGGUGCAAGCGUUAAUCGGAAUUACUGGGCGUAAAGCGCGCGUAGGUGGUUCAGCAAGUUGGAUGUGAAAUCCCCGGGCUCAACCUGGGAACUGCAUCCAAAACUACUGAGCUAGAGUACGGUAGAGGGUGGUGGAAUUUCCUGUGUAGCGGUGAAAUGCGUAGAUAUAGGAAGGAACACCAGUGGCGAAGGCGACCACCUGGACUGAUACUGACACUGACGUGCGAAAGCGUGGGGAGCAAACAGGAUUAGAUACCCUGGUAGUCCACGCCGUAAACGAUGUCGACUAGCCGUUGGGAUCCUUGAGAUCUUAGUGGCGCACCUAACGCGAUAAGUCGACCGCCUGGGGAGUACGG
Molecule: ribosomal RNA, 829 nt
Filed under: Pseudomonas aeruginosa
Lineage: Bacteria; Pseudomonadati; Pseudomonadota; Gammaproteobacteria; Pseudomonadales; Pseudomonadaceae
Description: bacterial SSU rRNA
Rfam family: Bacterial small subunit ribosomal RNA
Source: RNAcentral